This 2763-nucleotide unclassified non-coding RNA is filed under the name Ooceraea biroi (clonal raider ant). RNAcentral's name for it is "tyrosine-protein kinase Fer, transcript variant X2". Lineage: Eukaryota; Metazoa; Arthropoda; Insecta; Hymenoptera; Formicidae. The record is from RNAcentral.
GGCCCUUGCUCGACAUCAUCGUGUGUUGUACUCAAUGGCGGUAUUUCUCUGGUAAGAGUGAAUUUUUCUGCAAAUUUUCGGAGACUCGGCUAUAAAUAUAAAUGUUGAUCUCAGAAUUGUGCGAGCGCGCGAGGACGCGCCGGAGUUGAGUCGAGUGGCACUCGUAUCAUCGUCAUGAUGACGAUGGUGCUCAUGUAACAGUCUCAGAUACGCCGUCGUCGUCGUUUAACGUGCCCGAGGGGAGCCUUUUGGCUAAAUGUCAGGGUACCCGUUCUUAUGCCAGCUGCAGAAUAUCCUACUCCGAUGAGCCGCCGUUGAGCGCACGUUGCUACUAGUUUGCACGUUCGCGGUUAACAAGGAUGGGCUUCUCCACGAGCCUGCAGGGUCAGGCAUCGCACGAGGCGCUGCUGGCUAGGCAGGAUGCCGAGAUCAAGCUCCUGGAGACGAUGCGCAGGUGCAUCACGACGAAGGUCAAGUCCGACCGGGAGUAUGCCUCUACCAUUUCCUCGCUCACCUCGCAAGGGAAGAAGAUUGAGCGCAACGAGGAGCUCGUUGGCAGUCUCAUAUUGCAGAGCUGGAGAGACAUAAUGGACUCGAUUGAUCAGACGGCGAAGCUAAUUAAGCAGCAAGCGGAUUCUAUUGAGAAUAUAGUUGUUGAGCAAUUAAGUAUGUUAUAUUCGGAGAGAAGAAGAGCCAGGAAGCUCUAUCAAGAGGAGCAGACCUGGCUGAACAAUCAGUUUCAGCAGUUGACAGAUGAUGUGACUAGGAAAAAAAUGGAAUAUCAGAAGAAUCUGGAGGUGUAUAAAUUAAUGAGGUCGCGAUUCGAAGAGUAUUAUGUUAAGUCUGGUAGGGGAGGUCGCAAGUUAGAUGAAGUGAGAGAAAAGUAUCAGAAAGCAUGCAGGAAGCUGCAUCUGACACACAAUGAAUAUGUACUACUGCUGGGUGCAGUGACGGAAUGCGAACAUGAUUUGAGAACUUGUUACUUGCCAAGUUUGCUUCAUCGGCAACAAGCUAUUCACCAAGAAUUUAUAACUUCAUGGAAAGGAAUACUUCAGGAUAUUGUAAAAUACUCAGAUUUUACAACAGAGAAAUUUCUGGAGAUCCAUGUACGAGUGCAAAAGGUAGUCGAUGGUGUCAAGCCUAUCGAAGAAUAUAGAGAUUUCAUUGGAAAGCACAAGACGAGGCCAGCAUCUCCAAUCAGAUUCACAUUUGAUGAGAAUCUUGUGGACGACACUUCAGGGAAAUUAUCACCAAAUAAGCUAACUGUAGAUAAUUUAACCAUAGAUUGGCUAAGAGGUCGUCUCACGGAGCUUGAGACUUCUCUCAAAACUACACAACAAAAUCGACAGAGCCCACAAUUUCCGCAAGAGAAUAAUAGUGAUUCUAGAAUUUCAAUCUUGGAUUAUUCUCGCGAAAGGGAAGAACUGAGAUUACGUUGUCAAGAGAAAAAAUUGCAAAGACAAGUGGAUGUUAUCAGAGGUGCUCUCAACGAAUUAGGCUGUGAGGAAUUACCGUCAGGUUGCGAUCUUUCUAUGGAAGGUUCUUUCACUGAAUCGUCUACAAUUAACAAAAGGAACACAGUCGCAGACAGUGGUUUGUUCACACUAAGAAGAAAUCAGCGAUUUAUAACAAUGUUAAAAUCACCUUUCAAAUCUUUGCCAGCAAUUACCGAUUCGAAAAACGGAGUGAUUAGAGCAAAUAGUGAGGGGCCUACGAUCAAAGCAGACAAUAAUAUCCCCCCCGUUGCACCAUUGCGUGUAACUUCGCAUUUAACUAACAAUCAAAAAACUAAUGGGAACGGCGGUCUCACGGAAGAGGAAUGGUUCCACGGGGUCCUACCGCGAGAAGAAGUUGUACGAUUACUCGUCAACGAAGGAGAUUUUUUAGUACGCGAAACGAUGAGGAAUGACGAGUGUCAAAUAGUUUUGUCCGUUUGCUGGGACGGACACAAGCAUUUUAUCGUGCAGACCACGCCAGAGGGGCACUACAGAUUCGAGGGACCUACGUUCCCGUCCAUUCAAGAAUUGAUCAAGCAUCAAUGGUUGUCUGGCUUGCCGGUGACUAGUCGAUCUGGUGCUAUUCUGAAGACGCCGAUCCUGCGCGAGCGGUGGGAGCUCAAUAACGAUGAUGUCAUCCUUUUGGAGAAAAUAGGCCGAGGGAAUUUCGGCGAUGUUUAUAAAGCACAACUGAAGACUGGCAAGACCGAGGUGGCGGUGAAAACAUGCAAGGUGACUCUGCCGGACGAGCAGAAGCGCAAGUUUCUACAAGAGGGGAGAAUAUUGAAGCAGUACGAUCAUCCGAACAUAGUCAAAUUGAUCGGUAUCUGCGUGCAGAAGCAGCCGAUCAUGAUCGUGAUGGAACUGGUACCUGGUGGUUCGUUACUUACCUAUUUACGGAAGAACGCUGGUACGAUAACGCAGCGGGAGCAACUGCGUAUGUGUAAGGACGCCGCAGCUGGAAUGAGCUACCUGGAAUCGAAAUAUUGCAUCCAUAGAGAUUUAGCCGCUCGCAAUUGCCUCGAUACGAAUGCAUAGUCAAAAUCUCCGACUUUGGGAUGUCCAGAGAGGAGGAAGAGUACAUAGUUUCGGAUGGCAUGAAACAGAUUCCUAUCAAGUGGACCGCGCCGGAGGCCUUGAAUUUUGGUAAAUACACGUCGCUUUGCGACAUAUGGAGUUACGGAAUUCUGAUAUGGGAGAUAUUCUCCAAAGGCGGUAAUCCGUACAGCGGAAUGUCCAACUCGCAGGCACGUGAAAAGAUAGACGC